RNAcentral lists this long non-coding RNA (273 nucleotides) under Homo sapiens (human). RNAcentral describes it as "HSALNT0083843". Lineage: Eukaryota; Metazoa; Chordata; Mammalia; Primates; Hominidae. The record is from RNAcentral.
GCUGGGACUCCGGAGUUCUAAAGAACAGUUUUGAGUGAACUGACGUAGGACAAGAUGGAGGCGGUGCCAGGGGAUUGAGGAUGGCUGAGCCCACAUGUUCAAGGAGCAGGAACCAGAAGUGGCACAACAUGAUCACGUGGUCAGUCAGUGACAUGUGUGGGAGAGGGGCCCCGUGACCCUACCAGUUAACUCUCAGUUGACUCAAGAUAAAAUUUCCUGUUGACUAAAAGAUACAGGCUUUGUCUAAAUACUUAUUUUCUGCUGUCUAGAAAA